GACGAACGCUGGCGGCGUGCUUAACACAUGCAAGUCGAACGGAAAGGCCCUGCUUUUGUGGGGUGCUCGAGUGGCGAACGGGUGAGUAACACGUGAGUAACCUGCCCUUGACUUUGGGAUAACUUCAGGAAACUGGGGCUAAUACCGGAUAGGAGCUCCUGCUGCAUGGUGGGGGUUGGAAAGUUUCGGAGGUUGGGGAUGGACUCGCGGCUUAUCAGCGUGUUGGUGGGGUAGUGGCGUACCAAGGCUUUGACGGGUAGCCGGCCUGAGAGGGUGACCGGCCACAUUGGGACUGAGAUACGGCCCAGACUCCUACGGGAGGCAGCAGUGGGGAAUAUUGCACAAUGGGCGGAAGCCUGAUGCAGCAACGCCGCGUGCGGGAUGACGGCCUUCGGGUUGUAAACCGCUUUCGCCUGUGACGAAGCGUGAGUGACGGUAAUGGGUAAAGAAGCACCGGCUAACUACGUG
This 468-nucleotide ribosomal RNA is filed under the name uncultured bacterium. Its description in RNAcentral is "partial 16S ribosomal RNA". It matches the Rfam family "Bacterial small subunit ribosomal RNA", at positions 28 to 507 of the family's 1533-position model. The record is from RNAcentral.